Molecule: long non-coding RNA, 1043 nt
Filed under: Ursus maritimus (polar bear)
Lineage: Eukaryota; Metazoa; Chordata; Mammalia; Carnivora; Ursidae
Description: lncRNA (ENSUMAG00000023813.1)
Source: RNAcentral
AGAGUGGACAGAACCCACAUCCAGCCCAGAUCUUCCUGUGUCUGAUCUCUGCACAAACUGCAAGCCAUCGGUCGUCCAAUGCAUUUGGGAAUUAGGCAAAGGGACUGUGGUUUCUGAGCCAUGAUGGGACACAGAGAGAAUCUAAGGGACAGAGGCAAAAAAAAAAAAAAAAAAAAAGACAGGUACAACCACUAGCAACACACGGGAUUACAUCAACCGGUUGGUACCAGGCUUCCUGCGGUCCUGUCUCUUCAGCUCUCUGCUGAAGAGUCGUAUCAGGCAGCAGAGCACUGCAGUUUAGGAAAGACAGGAAUUUGUAUUCAAUAAAAAAACCAACUUAGACUCAGGAUGGCAAGGUUCCGUUGGAGCCUAUGCAAGGUGGACAUGUGAUGAGUCUGUAUUUCUAACAGUUUCUGGAGUCAGGAAACAUGUCACAUCGUGCGCAUGACAUCUUCAUUACAGAAUUACUAUUCCGUUGACUCAUCCUUUCAUUUCAGAUAAUUAAUAUUAACCGACGUCAGAGAUAUAUAUGCUUAAAGAUAGAAAAAACUGAUACUUAACGAGGCAAAAAUAAUCUCAACAUUUUUAAAAAAGACAUCAGCUCUUUGGGAGGCAACAUGUGCAAUUUUGUGACAGCUCAGGAAAUCCGCGGGCUUCCGCCUCGGAUCUGAAGAUUGUUUACAUUCCAGUGGAAUUCCUGGGAAAGUCCAGAGCUCUCUGUGCUUUGAAAACAAUGGCUUAUAGAGAUCAAGUUCAACCUUGCAAGUGGAGCCUCCCAGCAGGGGGGAUGGCUUGAGGGGUCCUCCGGAACAGAGGAGCCAGAACAGUGCUGCUCAGGGGCCAGCUGGCUCAGGUUGUCGUCUGUGGAUGCAGGGCCUGGAACUGGGGGCCACCCUGUGGACACACUGUGGCCAGCAGGAAAGAGAGGUGGGAAAAAAAACCCAAGAGCCUGAGGACCUGGUCGAGCUACUGAAAAACUAGAGUCAGAGGCCCCGUGACACCACCUGUUGAUAUGUGAGCUAAUAAAAUUACUGAUUUAACCA